CAAGUAGGGGGCGGAGCAAUCCGCAACCGGCGAACGGGUGCGUAACACGUGAGCAAUCUACCGAUUUGCGGGGGAUAGCCGGCCCAACGGCCGGGUAAUACCGCAUACGCUUGAUCUGGGGAGUCCUGGGUCAAGGAAACCUUUCGGGGGCAAAUCGAGGAGCUCGCGGCCUAUCAGCUAGUUGGCGGUGUCACGGACCACCAAGGCUCUGACGGGUAGCUGGUCUGAGAGGAUGGCCAGCCACAUUGGGACUGAGAGACGGCCCAGACUCCUACGGGAGGCAGCAGUGGGGAAUCUUGCGCAAUGGCCGAAAGGCUGACGCAGCGACGCCGCGUGUGGGAGGACGCCCUUCGGGGUGUAAACCACUGUUGCCCGGGACGAAUGCCCCUUUCGAGGGGAGUGACGGUACCGGGUGAGGAAGCACCGGCUAACUCCGUGCCAGCAGCCGCGGUAAUACGGAGGGUGCGAGCGUUGUCCGGAAUCACUGGGCGUAAAGGGCGCGUAGGCGGCUUCUUAAGCGUGCGGUGAAAGCUCGGGGCUCAACUCCGAGUCGGCCGUGCGAACUGGGGAGCUGGAGCACAGUAGAGGCAGAUGGAAUUCCGGGUGUAGCGGUGGAAUGCGUAGAGAUCCGGAAGAACACCGGUGGCGAAGGCGGUCUGCUGGGCUGUGGCUGACGCUGAGGCGUGACAGCGUGGGGAGCAAACAGGAUUAGAUACCCUGGUAGUCCACGCCGUAAACGAUGGGCACUAGGUGCUUGGGGGAGCGACCCCCUGAGUGCCGGCGCUAACGCAUUAAGUGCCCCGCCUGGGGAGUACGGCCGCAAGGCUGAAAGUGAAAGGA
Molecule: ribosomal RNA, 840 nt
Filed under: uncultured Gemmatimonadota bacterium
Lineage: Bacteria; Pseudomonadati; Gemmatimonadota
Description: bacterial SSU rRNA
Rfam family: Bacterial small subunit ribosomal RNA
Source: RNAcentral